This is a non-coding RNA of Chrysemys picta bellii (western painted turtle), 214 nucleotides long. The record is from RefSeq and is a predicted model, not a curated record. Lineage: Eukaryota; Metazoa; Chordata; Testudines; Emydidae.
ACAGAGUCCAAGUGAGGAGAGUGACAAGAGCCCUGGAGAUCGGCUGGAGUAUGCCAUGAUUGUUGGAUUUGGCAGGGCCAGCGCUACAUGCUCACAGCCCAGCAGAGACACGGCGGUGACCUACACAACUGUAGGUCAUUGCACAGCACAGACAGCAGGUCAUUGCACAGCUGGGGAAACAGAAGAUGACUUACAUCCUUAUGGCAUUGGUGAG